CUAUAGUCAGGAUGGCUCUGAUACCAGCUCUAUGGGGACCCCUACUUACAAGCCGAGAUCGCCGAUUGAUCGUGCUCAGUGAUCCCAGAGAUCAAUGCUCACUGAACACACAGAUACUGAAUAAUAAGAGUCUUACAUCCGAGUACCGAAUUUAUUACAUCACAUAACCGAAUGGUCAAGUUCACAUGGUUGGUCCUAAGGCCAAAUCAUACUGAUACAACUAAUAGCGAAAAUCAUAGGGGCUAAGCGGGUGCCCAUGCCAUCAAGCCUACACCGACAGGCAUUCUGACUUGGAAGCGUCCUAGUUCGCAGGGGCGUCUCCGAAGACGUACUCAUCUCCAAACUCCGGUCCUUCCAUGCCUGGUCAAUAAUAUAACCAGUGGCAAGCCAAUGAGUACUUUUGAAUGUACUCGCAAAUAGCCCAUGAU
RNAcentral lists this long non-coding RNA (428 nucleotides) under Hordeum vulgare. RNAcentral describes it as "long non-coding RNA (HVUL_LNC004659)". The record is from RNAcentral. Lineage: Eukaryota; Viridiplantae; Streptophyta; Magnoliopsida; Poales; Poaceae.